Molecule: ribosomal RNA, 484 nt
Filed under: uncultured bacterium
Lineage: Bacteria
Description: partial 16S ribosomal RNA
Rfam family: Bacterial small subunit ribosomal RNA
Source: RNAcentral
AUUGAACGCUGGCGGCAGGCCUAACACAUGCAAGUCGAGCGGAUGAAGGGAGCUUGCUCCUGGAUUCAGCGGCGGACGGGUGAGUAAUGCCUAGGAAUCUGCCUGGUAGUGGGGGAUAACGUCCGGAAACGGGCGCUAAUACCGCAUACGUCCUGAGGGAGAAAGUGGGGGAUCUUCGGACCUCACGCUAUCAGAUGAGCCUAGGUCGGAUUAGCUAGUUGGUGGGGUAAAGGCCUACCAAGGCGACGAUCCGUAACUGGUCUGAGAGGAUGAUCAGUCACACUGGAACUGAGACACGGUCCAGAGUCCUACGGGAGGCAGCAGUGGGGAAUAUUGGACAACGGGCGAAAGCCUGAUCCAGCCAUGCCGCGUGUGUGAAGAAGGUCUUCGGAUUGUAAAGCACGUUAAGUUGGGAGGAAGGGCAGUAAGUUAAUACCUUGCUGUUUUGACGUUACCAACAGAAUAAGCACCGGCUAACUUCGUG